GAUGAACGCUGGCGGCGUGCCUAAUACAUGCAAGUCGAGCGAACAGAUGAGGAGCUUGCUCCUCUGACGUUAGCGGCGGACGGGUGAGUAACACGUGGAUAACCUACCUAUAAGACUGGGAUAACUUCGGGAAACCGGAGCUAAUACCGGAUAAUAUAUUGAACCGCAUGGUUCAAUAGUGAAAGACGGUUUUGCUGUCACUUAUAGAUGGAUCCGCGCCGCAUUAGCUAGUUGGUAAGGUAACGGCUUACCAAGGCAACGAUGCGUAGCCGACCUGAGAGGGUGAUCGGCCACACUGGAACUGAGACACGGUCCAGACUCCUACGGGAGGCAGCAGUAGGGAAUCUUCCGCAAAGGGCGGGGGCCUGACGGAGCAACGCCGCGUGAGUGAUGAAGGUCUUCGGAUCGUAAAACUCUGUUAUUAGGGAAGAACAAAUGUGUAAGUAACUAUGCACGUCUUGACGGUACCUAAUCAGAAAGCCACGGCUAACUACGUG
This 497-nucleotide ribosomal RNA is filed under the name uncultured bacterium. Its description in RNAcentral is "partial 16S ribosomal RNA". It matches the Rfam family "Bacterial small subunit ribosomal RNA", at positions 28 to 507 of the family's 1533-position model. The record is from RNAcentral.